RNAcentral lists this ribosomal RNA (450 nucleotides) under uncultured Gammaproteobacteria bacterium. Its description in RNAcentral is "bacterial SSU rRNA". It matches the Rfam family "Bacterial small subunit ribosomal RNA", at positions 42 to 481 of the family's 1533-position model. Lineage: Bacteria; Pseudomonadati; Pseudomonadota; Gammaproteobacteria. The record is from RNAcentral.
GCAUGCCUACACAUGCAAGUCGAACGGUAACGCAAGAAGCUUGCUUCUUGGCGACGAGUGGCGGACGGGUGAGUAAUGCUUAGGAAUCUGCCCAGUAGUGGGGGACAACUCGAGGAAACUCGAGCUAAUACCGCAUACGCCCUAUGGGGGAAAGUGGAGGAUCUUCGGACUUCACGCUAUUGGAUGAGCCUAAGUCGGAUUAGCUUGUUGGUGAGGUAAAAGCUUACCAAGGCGACGAUCCGUAGCUGGUCUGAGAGGACGAUCAGCCACACUGGGACUGAGACACGGCCCAGACUCAUACGGGGAGGCAGCAGUGGGGAAUAUUGGACAAUGGGGGCAACCCUGAUCCAGCAAUGCCGCGUGUGUGAAGAAGGCCUGCGGGNUUGUAAAGCACUUUCAGUAGAGAAGAAAAAGCUUAGGGUUAAUACCCCUGAGUCUUGACGUAACCUA